Molecule: long non-coding RNA, 1179 nt
Filed under: Oncorhynchus mykiss (rainbow trout)
Lineage: Eukaryota; Metazoa; Chordata; Actinopteri; Salmoniformes; Salmonidae
Description: lncRNA (ENSOMYG00000075458.1)
Source: RNAcentral
AUGAUGAUCAUCGUCAACAUCAUCAUAGUCCUCCUCCUCAUCAUCAUCAUCAUUGUCCUUAUCAUCAUCAUCAUCAUCAUCAUAAUAGUCCUCAUCGUAGUCCUUAUCAUCAUCAUCAUAGUCCUUAUCAUUAUCAUCAUGGUCCUUAUCAUCAUCAUCAUAAUAGUCAUCAUCAUAGUCCUUAUCAUCAUCAUCAUAUUCCUUAUCAUCAUCAUCAUCCUCAUAGUCCUUAUCAUCAUCAUCAUAGUCCUUAUCAUCAUCAUCAUAGUCCUCAUCAUCAUCCUCAUAGUCCUCAUCAUCAUCAUCAUAGUCCUUAUAAUCAUCAUCGUAGUCCUUUUCAUUAUCAUCAUCCUCAUAGUCCUUAUCAUCAUCAUCAUAGUCCUUAUCAUCAUCAUCAUAGUCCUCAUCAUCAUCCUCAUAGUCCUCAUCAUCAUCAUCAUAGUCCUUAUAAUCAUCAUCGUAGUCCUUUUCAUUAUCAUCAUCAUCAUAGUCCUUUUCAUUAUCAUCAUCGUCAUCAUAGUCCUUAUCAUCAUCAUAGUCCUUAUCAUCAUCAUCAUAGUCCUUAUCAUCAUCAUCAUCAUCAUCAUUGUCCUUUUCAUCAUCAUCAUCAUCAUUGUCCUCCAUCAUCAUCAUCAUAGUCCUCCUCCUCCUCAUCAUAGUCCUUAUCAUCAUCAUAGUCCGUAUCAUCAUCAUCAUAAUAAUCCUCAUCAUAUUCAUUUUCAUUAUCAUCAUAGUCCUCAUCAUCAUCAUCAUCAUCAUCAUAGUCCUUAUCAUCAUCAUCAUCAUCACCAUUGUCCUCCUCCUCCUCCUCAUCAUCAUCAUCAUAGUCCUCCUCCUCCUCCUCAUCAUAGUCCUUAUCAUCAUCACAGUCCGUAUCAUCAUUACCAUCAUCAUCAUCAUAAUAAUCCUCAUCAUCAUAUUCAUUUUCAUUAUCAUCAUCAUCAUAGUCCUCAUCAUCAUCAUCGUCAUUGGCCUCAUCAUCAUCAUAGUCCUUAUCAUCAUCAUCAUAGUCCUUAUAAUCAUCAUCAUAGUCCUUUUCAUUAUCGUCAUCAUCAUCAUAGUCCUCAACAUCAUCAUCAUCAUAGUCUUUUUCGUUAUCAUCAUCAUCAUCAUCAUCAUAGUCCUUAUCAUCAUCAUCAUAGUCCUUUUCAUUAUCGUCAUCAUCAUCAUAGUCCUUAA